UACGAAGGGGGCUAGCGUUGUUCGGAAUUACUGGGCGUAAAGCGCACGUAGGCGGAUACUUAAGUCAGGGGUGAAAUCCCGGGGCUCAACCCCGGAACUGCCUUUGAUACUGGGGAUCUCGAGUCCGGAAGAGGUUGGUGGAACUGCGAGUGUAGAGGUGAAAUUCGUAGAUAUUCGCAAGAACACCAGUGGCGAAGGCGGCGACCUGGUCCUUGACUGACGCUGAGGCGCGAAAGCGUGGGGAGCAAACAGG
This 253-nucleotide ribosomal RNA is filed under the name uncultured bacterium. Its description in RNAcentral is "partial 16S ribosomal RNA". It matches the Rfam family "Bacterial small subunit ribosomal RNA", at positions 524 to 776 of the family's 1533-position model. The record is from RNAcentral.